CUCAGCAGGAAACCAUGAAAACUGCAGAAAGCCUGCGGGAGAGUCCAAGCAUGUGUGGAUGUCCAGGAGGAAAUACAGCCCCAUUGUUUGUGGAGCGCCUGGCAAUGGGGUGUUGCGGUCCAAGAACAGAGCUUCUAGGCAUUACCAGCACCCAGAUGGGGCACUGAAACAAUUCUGGCUUUGCUGAACUGGCUUCCCAAGAAGCACUUGUCUGCCCUCGUAAAAACCACAGGACUGACUCAUCUAAAUGCUUGCCGAUUUUUAACCCCAAAUCCUUUCAGCUUCCUGAGCGUUUUCAAGCUGCAGGCAGCAAGAAGGUAAUGUCUCAUGAGUCGCUGGAUGCGCAGUGCCAGAAUGAGAUCGUGAGACUCAAGCUGGCUGCAAAAGAAGGCGUUAGACGGAAGGGGGUGCUGCGGCCUUAGCGAGCUCUCCCCUACCCCUCCAGCAAAGUGUCAUAAGCCUCUGCAGGAACACAGAGUUCCCCAGCAUUCAAGCAGCUUUAUUGGCUCCCGAACAACCUGGAAGAAAGAAAACUGGGCUGCCUAGUGUGGGGCUGCUCUCUACUGGUGCGGCAGCCAGACAGGGUGCCUGUGUCUCCUCGGCACCAGCGCCUUCCCUGACUCACGCGUACCCUGAGAACUGGGGUGUUCCUGCUCCUGAAAGGGAUGAGAAAUCAGAGGGUCUGUUUUUGGCUGAGCGAGAGGCAGUGAGGAGGAGUAAGGAUGUCCAUGAGGAGCCCCGUUUCUCCCCACCUGGACCUCGAUGGAGCCGGCAGCAUGGUGAACUGCACCAUCAAGACGGAGGAGAAGAAGGAGGGCUGCUACGAGUCCCCGCCGGGGGCUGCCCCGAGCGCCGAGCCCCGUGCCAACGACUUGCCGGGGCCRCCGCCGAGAGAGGGCACCGACCCCCAGGCCCUGCCGCAGGUGGGUCCGGGCUCCGCGCGCUCCCUUUCUCACUCCUGGAGAGCCAAGGGGGUCAGGUCUGCCGGAGAUGCCCAGUGUGGGCAUCGCACCGCUCCGGAAGUGUUCAACUUGCCGCGGCCAUCCAGGAUGAACUCAAACGCUGUGGCCUUUCUGUAUUGCUGCCCUUGAUGCCAUUUUUGCUUUCRUCCAUGGUAGUGUCAGGUCACCGGCUCCCGGUCCUGUAUGUCUCGGUGUCGGCGCUGC
Molecule: long non-coding RNA, 1166 nt
Filed under: Apteryx rowi (Okarito brown kiwi)
Lineage: Eukaryota; Metazoa; Chordata; Aves; Apterygiformes; Apterygidae
Description: lncRNA (ENSARWG00000002165.1)
Source: RNAcentral